RNAcentral lists this ribosomal RNA (726 nucleotides) under uncultured bacterium. RNAcentral's name for it is "bacterial SSU rRNA". It matches the Rfam family "Bacterial small subunit ribosomal RNA", at positions 52 to 773 of the family's 1533-position model. The record is from RNAcentral.
CACAUGCAAGUCGAGCGGUAGAGAGAAGCUUGCUUCUCUUGAGAGCGGCGGACGGGUGAGUAAUGCCUAGGAAUCUGCCUGGUAGUGGGGGAUAACGUUCGGAAACGGACGCUAAUACCGCAUACGUCCUACGGGAGAAAGCAGGGGACCUUCGGGCCUUGCGCUAUCAGAUGAGCCUAGGUCGGAUUAGCUAGUUGGUGAGGUAAUGGCUCACCAAGGCGACGAUCCGUAACUGGUCUGAGAGGAUGAUCAGUCACACUGGAACUGAGACACGGUCCAGACUCCUACGGGAGGCAGCAGUGGGGAAUAUUGGACAAUGGGCGAAAGCCUGAUCCAGCCAUGCCGCGUGUGUGAAGAAGGUCUUCGGAUUGUAAAGCACUUUAAGUUGGGAGGAAGGGUUGUAGAUUAAUACUCUGCAAUUUUGACGUUACCGACAGAAUAAGCACCGGCUAACUCUGUGCCAGCAGCCGCGGUAAUACAGAGGGUGCAAGCGUUAAUCGGAAUUACUGGGCGCAAAGCGCGCGUAGGUGGUUUGUUAAGUUGGAUGUGAAAUCCCCGGGCUCAACCUGGGAACUGCAUUCAAAACUGACUGACUAGAGUAUGGUAGAGGGUGGUGGAAUUUCCUGUGUAGCGGUGAAAUGCGUAGAUAUAGGAAGGAACACCAGUGGCGAAGGCGACCACCUGGACUAAUACUGACACUGAGGUGCGAAAGCGUGGGGAGCAAAC